This 385-nucleotide ribosomal RNA is filed under the name uncultured bacterium. RNAcentral describes it as "bacterial SSU rRNA". It matches the Rfam family "Bacterial small subunit ribosomal RNA", at positions 30 to 416 of the family's 1533-position model. The record is from RNAcentral.
AUUGAACGCUGGCGGCAUGCCUUACACAUGCAAGUCGAACGGUAACGGGCCUUCGGGUGCCGACGAGUGGCGAACGGGUGAGUAAUGCAUCGGAACGUACCUUUCAGUGGGGGAUAACGUAGCGAAAGUUACGCUAAUACCGCAUAUUCUGUGAGCAGGAAAGCAGGGGAUCGCAAGACCUUGCGCUGAUUGAGCGGCCGAUGUCAGAUUAGCUAGUUGGUGAGGUAAAGGCUCACCAAGGCGACGAUCUGUAGCGGGUCUGAGAGGAUGAUCCGCCACACUGGAACUGAGACACGGUCCAGACUCCUACGGGAGGCAGCAGUGGGGAAUUUUUGGACAAUGGGGGCAACCCUGAUCCAGCCAUGCCGCGUGAGUGAAGAAGGCC